CUGAAGCCUGGUGCUUGCACCGGGUGGAUGAGUGGCGAACGGGUGAGUAACACGUGAGUAACCUGCCCCUGACUUCGGGAUAAGCCCGGGAAACUGGGUCUAAUACCGGAUACGACUGCCGGACGCAUGUCUGGUGGUGGAAAGUUUUUUCGGUUGGGGAUGGGCUCGCGGCCUAUCAGUUUGUUGGUGAGGUAAUGGCUCACCAAGACGACGACGGGUAGCCGGCCUGAGAGGGCGACCGGCCACACUGGGACUGAGACACGGCCCAGACUCCUACGGGAGGCAGCAGUGGGGAAUAUUGCACAAUGGGGGAAACCCUGAUGCAGCGACGCAGCGUGCGGGAUGACGGCCUUCGGGUUGUAAACCGCUUUCAGCAGGGAAGAAGCGCAAGUGACGGUACCUGCAGAAGAAGUACCGGCUAACUACGUGCCAGCAGCCGCGGUAAUACGUAGGGUACGAGCGUUGUCCGGAAUUAUUGGGCGUAAAGAGCUCGUAGGUGGUUGGUCACGUCUGCUGUGGAAACGCAACGCUUAACGUUGCGCGUGCAGUGGGUACGGGCUGACUAGAGUGCAGUAGGGGAGUCUGGAAUUCCUGGUGUAGCGGUGAAAUGCGCAGAUAUCAGGAGGAACACCGGUGGCGAAGGCGGGACUCUGGGCUGUAACUGACACUGAGGAGCGAAAGCAUGGGGAGCGAACAGGAUUAGAUACCCUGGUAGUCCAUGCCGUAAACGUUGGGCACUAGGUGUGGGGGGCAUUCCACGUUCUCCGCGCCGUAGCUAACGCAUUAAGUGCCCCGCCUGGGGAGUACGGUCGCAAGGCUAAAACUCAAAGGAAUUGACGGGGGCCCGCACAAGCGGCGGAGCAUGCGGAUUAAUUCGAUGCAACGCGAAGAACCUUACCAAGGCUUGACAUACACCGGACCGUCCUGGAAACAGGUCCUCUUCUUUGAAGCUGGUGUACAGGUGGUUGCAUGGUUGUCGUCAGCUCGUGUCGUGAGAAGGUUUGGGUUAAGUCCCGCAACGAGCGCAACCCUCGUUCUAUGUUGCAGCAUGGGGAUGGUGGGAACUCAUAGGAGACUGCCGG
RNAcentral lists this ribosomal RNA (1082 nucleotides) under uncultured bacterium. RNAcentral's name for it is "bacterial SSU rRNA". It matches the Rfam family "Bacterial small subunit ribosomal RNA", at positions 67 to 1155 of the family's 1533-position model. The record is from RNAcentral.